Molecule: long non-coding RNA, 514 nt
Filed under: Olea europaea subsp. europaea
Lineage: Eukaryota; Viridiplantae; Streptophyta; Magnoliopsida; Lamiales; Oleaceae
Source: RNAcentral
CUCACUAUUGCAGAAGGUAGGUCAAAUCUAUGUAAACACAGAAUUAGUCUAAACAUUUUUUCUUUAUUUUAAACCCCCAUAACAUAUACUCAGAUACACGUGGCACACUGACAUAGUUAUAGGGGAUAGUAUUAGAAACCGAAAAUCGCGUGCAAAUGCAAAAGCUGUGAGUUAGUUUACCUUCAAGAAUCUAGUGAAUACAAACUUUAACUUUAAUAAUACUUUAAGUAAGGGAAGUUUGUGUUAUUCAACAAUCUAAUAAACUUUAUAGUGGUAGGUAUGUGUUACUCAAACUCGAAAUAUGGGAGGCUUGUGUAUUUCUUGAAAACGAUUGAGGUUUCAUGGGAGAUAUCAAUUAUUCAAACUUGAAAUAAGGAAUAUUUUUGUAAUUUUUGAACCCAGAUGAUGUCUCUAAACUUGUUGAAAACCUAAGGGGAAGUCUCAAAUUUGCCCUAAUUUUACGGCACUUGUUCUUGACAUGCAACUUGUUCUACGAGUGAGUUGUUAGUGUGGG